AGGGAGAAAGCCGAAAAUCCUAUAUAGAGUAGGAA
Molecule: regulatory RNA element, 35 nt
Organism: Mucinivorans hirudinis
Lineage: Bacteria; Pseudomonadati; Bacteroidota; Bacteroidia; Bacteroidales; Rikenellaceae
Rfam family: DUF805b RNA
About the family: Bacteroidetes, Chlorobi (1 example), Proteobacteria.
Source: Rfam